AACGAACGCUGGCGGCAUGCCUAACACAUGCAAGUCGAACGAGAUCUUCGGGUCUAGUGGCGCACGGGUGCGUAACGCGUGGGAGUCUGCCCUUUGGUUCGGAAUAACAGUUGGAAACGACUGCUAAUACCGGAUGAUGACGAAAGUCCAAAGAUUUAUCGCCAGAGGAUGAGCCCGCGUAGGAUUAGCUAGUUGGUGUGGUAAAGGCGCACCAAGGCGACGAUCCUUAGCUGGUCUGAGAGGAUGAUCAGCCACUGGGACUGAGACACGGCCCAGACUCCUACGGGAGGCAGCAGUGGGGAAUAUUGGACAAUGGGCGAAAGCCUGAUCCAGCAAUGCCGCGUGAGUGAUGAAGGCCUUAGGGUUGUAAAGCUCUUUUACCCGGGAUGAUAAUGACAGUACCGGGAGAAUAAGCUCCGGCUAACUCCGUGCCAGCCGCCGCCGUAA
Molecule: ribosomal RNA, 447 nt
Filed under: uncultured bacterium
Lineage: Bacteria
Description: partial 16S ribosomal RNA
Rfam family: Bacterial small subunit ribosomal RNA
Source: RNAcentral